CACUGUCCUCCCGCCACCAGCCGCCCCUGUCGCCGAGCCCGCAGUCGCCAGCGCGCCCCGAGCCCCUCCAGGCCAGAGGCUCCCGCAGGCGAUGGCGGACAAGAGGGCGGGGACCCCAGAAGCCGCGGCGCGCCCGCCGCCCGGCCUUGCCCGGGAGGGGGACGCGCGCACGGUCCCCGCGGCCCGGGCCCGAGAAGCUGGGGGGCGCGGGUCCCUCCACCCCGCAGCGGGCCCCGGGACCGCCUUCCCUUCCCCUGGGCGCGGGGAAGCGGCCUCCACGGCGACUACUCCGAGCCUGGAAAAUGGCCGGGUCCGGGACGAAGCCCCAGAAACCUGUGGUGCAGAGGGGCUAGGGACUCGGGCAGGAGCCAGCGAGAAGGCCGAGGACGCGAACAAGGAGGAGGGCGCCAUCUUCAAGAAGGAGCCAGCGGAGGAGGUGGAGAAGCAGCAGGAGGGGGAGGAGAAGCAGGAGGUGGCAGCGGAGGCCCAGGAGGGCCCGCGGCUCCUGAACCUUGGUGCCCUAAUUGUGGACCCACUGGAGGCCAUCCAGUGGGAGGCGGAGGCCGUGAGCGCCCAGGCCGACAGGGCCUACCUCCCGCUCGAGCGCAGGUUUGGGCGGAUGCACAGGUUGUACCUCGCCCGUAGGAGCUUCAUCAUCCAGAAUAUUCCGGGCUUCUGGGUCACCGCCUUCCUGAACCACCCGCAGCUCUCAGCCAUGAUCAGCCCUCGAGAUGAAGACAUGCUCUGCUACCUGAUGAAUUUGGAGGUGAGGGAGCUCAGGCACUCUAGGACAGGUUGCAAAUUCAAGUUCCGCUUUUGGAGCAACCCCUACUUCCAGAACAAGGUGAUAGUGAAGGAGUAUGAAUGCAGAGCCUCAGGCCGAGUGGUGUCUAUUGCGACUCGCAUCCGAUGGCACUGGGGCCAGGAACCCCCGGCCCUCGUACACAGGAACCGGGACACUGUCCGAAGCUUCUUCAGCUGGUUUUCACAGCACAGCCUCCCAGAGGCCGACAGGGUUGCCCAGAUUAUUAAAGAUGACCUGUGGCCCAACCCCCUGCAGUACUACCUGCUGGGGGAUAGGCCCUGCAGAGCCAGGGGAGGCCUCGCAAGGUGGCCCACGGAGACCCCUUCUAGGCCCUACGGGUUCCAGUCUGGCUAAGUGCUGCCUUGGGAUGUGCGGCCUACAUAAGCUUCCUCAUGCCUCCUACGGGUGGCGGAUCUGGGCUCAGGCCCAUGGUGGGCGCUCUGUUGUCUGCUGUCUGCUGUCUGCUGUCUGCUGUCUGUUCUGUGCACUCCCGCUCUGCGUGGUUCGGUGGACUCAGCUCUCAAAUUGUGGCCCUCGUGGCCAGUCUCUACUGUUUCCAUAUGGCCUCUUGCUGUUCUGUGUUAACAUCACGUGGCUGUCACAUGCCGCUGCGUCUACACUAAGCACCCAGUGCUGUGGAUGUGCACUGCCAUAAUCUUUACGGCAUGGACCUGUGACCGUGGCCAUCCCAGCCAUUUUUGACAAGGGUACCCACAAGUCACUACUUGGAGGACAGUGCCUCUUUGAGGCCUAUGCUUCAAGACUCCAGCCUGCCGGCCUUCGCAUGCUUGCUGGUCGUGCUCACAGUAGCUCUCUACACCCUGGCUGUGGCAAACUGAGUCUCAUCACCCAAGAUGAAGUGGCUUCAUUUGGUGCCGGGUGCCACCCAGGCUUGGACAUUCCAUGGCCUCAAGACCACAGGCUACCACCAAGUGGACUCUUGGGUAUCUGGCAGGAUGAGCACACAGCUGGCUGCUGGGCAUGGGUGAGGUCAAGGGCAUGAAGCAGUGGACAGCACAUUCUUUGUGAUCAUACUGCUCCUCCUGCCCCACGGUGGCCUGACAUCACAGCCUGCUGCUAGCUUAUGAGGGUCUGUGCCGUGCCCCACCAAUGCCUAGCCAUCUCCUUUCCCAUGAGUUUUGCCCAGACCACCAUCAGCCCUGUUGCCCGCCCCCAGGUCUACAGGAACCUCCAUAGCCGCUUGUGGACCCAGGUGGGCCACCUGCCAAUGCACAGGAGAGCCCCUAAUCCCCAGGAACUCUGCCAAACUGGCCUAUCUGGGCAUGUGAGUGAGGCAGGGGCAAGGAUGGGAUCCCCUCCUGAGCCCCAGUUACUGGACCCCACAGAAUCCAGGUGCUCUGCCAGCCCCCCUGCCUCUACCUGUUAGGCUGCCAAGCUGUGGGUGCUGGGGAGGGGGUCUUCCUGGUCCUGGGGCCUGUCUAUCCAUACCCAGAUCUCACACCAUUUUUUUCUUUAAAUGAUGGCUUAGAAACAAAAAAUAACAACUGAAGAAAAAGAUUUUUUCUUAAACUCAACAAGAAAGACUUUCGUGUUCAGUUUGCCUCUCUUCGUCUCCAGAGAGGGAGGGUUUGCCCUGUAGACUGCCAGCAUUCUCUCUUCCCCUAUACCUUACCCUCUUUAGCAAGGCCUAGAAUCUUCCAAAGGGGACAGUCCAAGGCUGCUGAACAGAGAGACCAGGAAGUCCCCAGAGCGGGGAUAGUUAAUAUUCCAUUUUAUGCUGUGUUCUUUUAGACUAACCCCAACUCUUUCUUACCCUUCCACCAAGUCCGAACCCCUCUAGGUAUAAGAGCUGAGCUGCCCACCCCCUCCUCCCCCUGCUUGCAGAGCUGUCUGUCUCCAUUUCAUUUUAGGGGAAGGGGUGGUAGUGGCCAUACCCAGGCCCCUUCCCAUGGAAGGCCUUAUCUUCUGUUCCCUAGGACCUGGGGAGGCCUUAUCACAAAAUAAUGUGGAGGGUGCUUUUGGCAGGGAAGUACAAAAGGAACCAGAGCCAGCUGAAAAGGCAGGAUGGCUGAGAGAUGGUAGAAGGAGGAGAGCCCUUGAUUUUGGUUAAUACAUAGAGACAGGGUCUCACUAUGUUGCCCAGGCUGGUCUUGAACUCCUGGGCUCAAGCGAUCUGCCCACCUUGGCCUCCCAAAGUGCUAAAAUUAUAGGUGUGAGCCACUGUGCCCAUCUGAUUUUUUUUUUUUCUUCAAGACAGGGUCUCACUCUGUUGCCCAGGCUGGAGUGCAGUGAUGCAUCAUAGCCUCAAACUCCUGGGCUCAAGUAAUUCUCCCAUCUCAGCCUCCCAAGUAGCUGGGACUACAGGUGUAUGCCACCAUGCCCAGCUUUUUAAAAAACAUUUUUGUAGAGACGGGGGUCUCGCUAUGUUGCCCAGGAUGGUCUUAACUCCUGGGCUCAAGGGAUCCUCCCACCUUGGCCUCCCAAAGUGCUGGGAUUACAAGUGUGAGCCACCGCGCCCAGCCCUUGCUAACAUUUUUGAUUCGCCAAUAUGUUUUGUAAACUAGAAGAAUAACAGAACACUGCAACUUUAGAGGUUUUCUCUCUUGGUCCUACCUUGUGUAUGUAGAAAGUUAAUGUAAGCUUUUCUUCUGCUGCUUUUAAGUAAGACCCUAUGCAUCCCCUCCUGUGUUUCAGCCCACUGGGGCAUUAUGCUGUAAAGGCUUGCUUGUUGCUUUUAGUUGAGAACUUUUGCAAGAUUGUCAGUGUACAUUUUUUAUGCCACUUGGAAACUUAUGUGACUAUUCACAAUUGUUAUCAGGUUGUUGGGGCCUUUACCAUAAUCUUGUACUUAGAAGCAGAGUUCUGGUUUUGUUGGACUUCAGACUGGAAGCUGUGCCUGUGUUCUGCAAGGAUAACCUCCAGAAAGAAUUCUGUGACCCUGAUGGUCUUGAUGAUUUUGUGCCAGGUUGUAAUUGACAUCACUGUAACUGACAAUGCUUCUUUUAAGCAGAGAAAUAUUCCUGAGGUGGCUUUGUCCAGUCACAAGGGGAUCUGUGACACUUUUGUUUUCUAUACGCAUGAUAAAAAAUAAAAAAUUGCCUGUCUGGGGAAAAAAUAA
This is a long non-coding RNA of Homo sapiens (human), 3884 nucleotides long. The record is from Ensembl. Lineage: Eukaryota; Metazoa; Chordata; Mammalia; Primates; Hominidae.